This 303-nucleotide long non-coding RNA is filed under the name Nicotiana benthamiana. RNAcentral describes it as "long non-coding RNA (NBEN_LNC034381)". Lineage: Eukaryota; Viridiplantae; Streptophyta; Magnoliopsida; Solanales; Solanaceae. The record is from RNAcentral.
AAAAUACCUCCGGUGACUGUGUUUAUUCCUGGUUGAACGAGAUUAGAACCAGUACUUGGGUUAACUGUAGAAUCAACACUUGUCAUCCCCUCUUGUUGCGCUUUAAAUUGCAAAUAUCUAGCCUUAUCGCUAGGGUGUAAUUUUAUAUGCUUAACUAAACUACCCGUGCCGCUACGAUCUCCAGUAUACCUAUGAACAAGUACUAGGGUGUAAUUUUAUAUGCUUAGUCAAACUACCCGUGCCGCUACGGUCACCAGUAUACCUAUGAACAAGUAAUUUCCCACAAGUUUUAUACUUAGCCUU